UACGUAGGUGGCGAGCGUUGUCCGGAUUUACUGGGCGUAAAGGGAGCGUAGGCGGACUUUUAAGUGAGAUGUGAAAUACCCGGGCUUAACUUGGGUGCUGCAUUUCAAACUGGAAGUCUAGAGUGCAGGAGAGGAGAAUGGAAUUCCUAGUGUAGCGGUGAAAUGCGUAGAUAUUAGGAGGAACACCAGUAGCGAAGGCGGCUCUCUGGACUGUAACUGACGCUGAGGCACGAAAGCGUGGGGAGCAAACAGGAUUAGAUACCCUGGUA
This 269-nucleotide ribosomal RNA is filed under the name uncultured prokaryote. RNAcentral describes it as "partial 16S ribosomal RNA". It matches the Rfam family "Bacterial small subunit ribosomal RNA", at positions 524 to 792 of the family's 1533-position model. The record is from RNAcentral.